UGUGUUGUUUGUUUGCUUUUCUGUCCUUGGUUCUGCUGUGCGCUUGUCCCCAGUGGAACCCUCUUGAGCUGGUUUGGAACUCCUCUGUGGCCAGGUGCUCCAUGGGUGACUCUCCAGCAGACUUGGAGCAUGGAUGCUUCCGAGGGGAUGGAGCCAUACCUCCCUGGUCGCCGAACCAUGGGCUGCAUCUCUGCGUCAGGACUUGGGACCGAUGUGAGUCAUAGCUAGAGUUCUUUGAGUGGUUCUGCUGGAUCAUUGAAGGGUCUUUGUUUAAGUUGUAGAAAAUGUGAACUGUAAUACAUUAGGCACACCCAAGGCCAACGAUCAGAUGAAUGGGAAGUAAUAUACCAAAAUACAUGUGUUAAAAGCUGAGGAUGGUGGUUGGAGAAGUAGAGUGGAAAGAUGGUACCUAUACAGAU
RNAcentral lists this long non-coding RNA (419 nucleotides) under Ictidomys tridecemlineatus (thirteen-lined ground squirrel). Its description in RNAcentral is "lncRNA (ENSSTOG00000029797.1)". Lineage: Eukaryota; Metazoa; Chordata; Mammalia; Rodentia; Sciuridae. The record is from RNAcentral.